Molecule: transfer-messenger RNA, 358 nt
Filed under: Bacilli
Lineage: Bacteria; Bacillati; Bacillota
Also listed under: 1 other name
Description: CAG-533 sp900551105 Standard tmRNA
Rfam family: transfer-messenger RNA
About the family: Bacterial tmRNA, also known as 10Sa RNA or SsrA, is named for its dual tRNA and mRNA-like properties. Its role is to liberate the mRNA from a stalled ribosome. To accomplish this part of the tmRNA is used as a reading frame that ends in a translation stop signal.
Source: RNAcentral
GGGGUCGUUUAUGGUUUCGACAGAAUAUAUUUGAUUAUAUUUGCAAGUGGUUGGCUAUUCCUAAAAUAGCAAACAGUUAAAAUAACUGACAAACCUAAUUAUAAUACAGCUUUAGCAUUCGCCUAGUAAUUGGCUGCAAAGCACUGCUUUCUUAUUGACUUUCCACAAUAUAAGUUAGUGGUUCAUAGUAGUGGAAUAUAUUUAAGUAAUGUUUCGUUAUUUAAAUGAAAUUUUAGAAACUUAGUUAAUAUAUACUUUGAUAAUUUGCAGAUAUUAAUGAAAUAAUAAAUUAUCUAAACUUGUAGAAGAUAUAAUUUAAGUAUUUUGGACAGCGGUUCAAGUCCGCUCGGCUCCACCA